Molecule: ribosomal RNA, 875 nt
Filed under: uncultured archaeon
Lineage: Archaea
Description: bacterial SSU rRNA
Rfam family: Archaeal small subunit ribosomal RNA
Source: RNAcentral
CCUGACUGCUAUCGGAUUGAUACUAAGCCAUGCGAGUCAUUGUAGCAAUACAAGGCAUACGGCUCAGUAACGCGUAGUCAACCUAACCUAUGGACGGGAAUAACCUCGGGAAACUGAGAAUAAUGCCCGAUAGAACACUAUACCUGGAAUGGUUUGUGUUCCAAAUGAUUUAUCGCCGUAGGAUGGGACUGCGGCCUAUCAGUUUGUUGGUGAGGUAAUGGCCCACCAAGACUAUUACAGGUACGGGCUCUGAGAGGAGUAGCCCGGAGAUGGGUACUGAGACACGGACCCAGGCCCUAUGGGGCGCAGCAGGCGAGAAAACUUUGCAAUGUGCGAAAGCACGACAAGGUUAAUCCGAGUGAUUUGUGCUAAACGAAUCUUUUGUUAGUUCUAGAAAUACUAACGAAUAAGGGGUGGGCAAGUUCUGGUGUCAGCCGCCGCGGUAAAACCAGCACCUCAAGUGGUCAGGAUGAUUAUUGGGCCUAAAGCAUCCGUAGCCGGCUCUGUAAGUUUUCGGUUAAAUCUGUACGCUUAACGUACAGGCUGCCGGGAAUACUGCAGAGCUAGGGAGUGGGAGAGGUAGACGGUACUCGGUAGGAAGGGGUAAAAUCCUUUGAUCUAUUGAUGACCACCUGUGGCGAAGGCGGUCUACCAGAACACGUCCGACGGUGAGGGAUGAAAGCUGGGGGAGCAAACCGGAUUAGAUACCCGGGUAGUCCCAGCUGUAAACUAUGCAAACUCAGUGAUGCAUUGACUUGUGGUCAAUGCAGUGCUGCAGGGAAGCCGUUAAGUUUGCCGCCUGGGAAGUACGUACGCAAGUAUGAAACUUAAAGGAAUUGGCGGGGGAGCACCACAAGGGGURAAGCCUGCGGUUC